UCCAGGAUUUCUUUAUGCUGGGGAAAGUCCCUUGAGGCUAAGAUACCAUCAUACUGAAGUGCGAUUUUGAUGUCACGAAUUUUGUGUGCUCGCUGGUGGACCUGCCUGCAGACCUUCCUUCUAGAAAUGGAACCCCAGUCCGUUGCCGGUUGUUGAUGAAUCAAACCUGGAGCUGUUUUGCAGAGACAGCACCACGCAUGUGCAAGCCGGGAACCUGUGCCUCCAGGGCGACCCCAGGAAUCUUCAGUCUGUGGAGCUCAAAGGAUAGAAAUAUUGUCAUCAAAGUCCUUUACAAACCAAGAAGUUUUUCAAUAAGGAAAAUCUGGCUUCCAGCAGCAUGAGGAGCUUACGUGGACUGAUUUGAGACUAACCAAUCAGCUUCCCAAAUUUGAAAUUUCCCUCACCCCUUAAGUUUCUCCCUGAACCCUGGAUGGGAGAGACAGAUUUGAGAGCUGAGCCUCCUCUCUCCUUGCCGGUGGGCCUUGCAAUAAGCUCUUUCUUUUCUCAAAAGCCAGUGCCAUAGUAUUGGCUUUCAUGUGUGCCGGGCAGCCAGCCCUUGCCCGGUGACAAAGGUGCCACCCGACUCUGUCACCACGUGGACCCCUUGUGUGGUAAUUUCACACCACCUCCCUUUCACUGCCGCCUCCCUCCCCCGCCAUCCUUAAUGCCUGGCAGCCACCUUCAUUUCUGUAGCUUUGUCAUUUCAAGAAUGAUACACCAGUGGGAUCAUAUGGUGUGUAACCUUUUAGGAUUGGCUUUCUCGUUUAGCAUAAUUCCCUAGAGAUUCAUACAAGUUGUUGCUUGCGUCAGCAGUUCAUUUAAAAAAAAAUCCAUUGAGUAGAUUCUCUGGCAUGUCACUCACGCCACAGUUUAAGAACACCCGGGCUGUUUCCAGUCUUGGCUAUUACCCGUGACGCUGCUAUAAACAUUAGUGUGCAGGUCUCGAUGUGAGCACAAGUCUUUGUUUCUUUGGAUGAAGGUCCAAUAGGGCAAGAUUACGGAUCCCAUGGUAACUGCAAGUUUAGGUUUAUAAGAAAUUGCCAAGCUGUUUUUCAGUGAGGCGCUACCAUUUUAUAUUCCCACCAGCAAAGUAUGAAUGACCCAGUUUCUCUGCACCUUCGUCAGCAUAUAGUGUUGUCACUCAGCUUUAUUUUGAUAAAUGUGUUGUGAUAGCUCACGGUGGUUUUAAUCUGCAUUUUCCCAAUGAAUAAUAAAAGUGAACACCUUUUCGUGUA
This is a long non-coding RNA of Vicugna pacos (alpaca), 1235 nucleotides long. RefSeq lists it as uncharacterized. NCBI's taxonomy places the organism in Eukaryota, Metazoa, Chordata, Mammalia, Artiodactyla, Camelidae. The record is from RefSeq and is a predicted model, not a curated record.